RNAcentral lists this long non-coding RNA (465 nucleotides) under Gossypium raimondii (Peruvian cotton). RNAcentral's name for it is "long non-coding RNA (GRAI_LNC001509)". The record is from RNAcentral. Lineage: Eukaryota; Viridiplantae; Streptophyta; Magnoliopsida; Malvales; Malvaceae.
GGAAGAGGAAAGAAACGGGGUGGGUUUUGGGAUUUUCGGCCACCGCGGAUGGUGACGCCGUCAUUGGUGAUCGGCGGCCGCCACGGUGGCCAACGACCGGAGCCUAGCCGAAUUCUGGGGAAGGGAGAGAGUGUUGAGAGUGUUUUUUUAGUUUUUUUUAGAAAGGGGGCUGAAAUGAUUUUUUUUGGGAAAUUUUUGACUUAAGUAGGGCUUCAAAAUGGUGUCGUUUUGGCUUGUUUUCUCAGAUGCCAAAACGACGUCGUUUCACCCUUGGAUCCGCAUGUUGACCCGACCCGCCAAGGAGGAUUCGCAUGUUUUUGAUUAAUGGGCAAUUUGCGCAUUUAGUCCUUCCGCAUUUUUUUUUAUCUUUUUAAUACAAUUUAUUUUUAUUUUCAAUUUUUACUUUAUGAUUUUUCUUUUAUUUUAAUUUGGACCCGUACAAAGUGACACGUUUUGGAGGGUAGG